Molecule: unclassified non-coding RNA, 720 nt
Filed under: Hevea brasiliensis (rubber tree)
Lineage: Eukaryota; Viridiplantae; Streptophyta; Magnoliopsida; Malpighiales; Euphorbiaceae
Source: RNAcentral
AGCAAGGCCAGUUAUGAAAAUGUUUCUAAGAAGUGGAUUCCGGAGUUGAAACAUUAUGCACCAGGGGUCCCAAUUGUUCUCGUAGGAACAAAGCUUGGUAAAAUUUUCACUGUAUUGGUGUUUCCAAAUACAAAAAUGCUAUUGCAUUAGCUUUGGUGAUCUGUUCACAGAGUUGCAGAACAAUAUAUCAUAUGCUUAGUUGUCAUUUUUUUAUCUUUGUAUAUACUUAUUGUUUUUUUUUAAUAUACUAUCUAUGAUGAUUUGGUAUUGUCAACUACUUUUGUUCAUAAUUCCUACUUCUCUUCAAGUUUAAUUGGCUUUGCAUGAUCAUUAGAAGGUCCAAUAAUCUGCCAAUGCAUAAUUUGCUUAUAAUUAUUGUCCUUAUGUGCUGUUCAGGUAGUUCACUAUUCCAUAUCUGAUGAUGCAGACAGGAUUAGCAAUGCAUGUCAUACAUGUUUUUGCUGAUUGAUCAAUAUUUUGAGGACUGAUAUGCACAGACUUCUUGUUAGUAAUCAAUUUUCUAAUUUAUGGUUGCAAGUCAAUAAGUUGCUAAUCAAACUGAGUUGUCAUAGUUUAGCAUAGUAUAACACAAUUUUCAUUUUGUGAUUGAUGACAAGAGAAAAGGGUGCUUGGUAUAAAAUAACAAACAAAGGUUUUAAUAGCUGAUUAGUUGGUGGAUGGGUGGCCAUACUGGACAAGAUAAAGUCCGUAAUGAGAGUA